Long non-coding RNA from Spea bombifrons (plains spadefoot toad), 853 nucleotides. RefSeq lists it as uncharacterized. The record is from RefSeq and is a predicted model, not a curated record. NCBI's taxonomy places the organism in Eukaryota, Metazoa, Chordata, Amphibia, Anura, Pelobatidae. The transcript is spliced from 12 exons.
GCAUCGUGGAAGUUUAUAUGAAUGCUUUGCCUAGGCUUUUGACAUACUAUGGAGCCUGAUUUUUGGUGAGUUUGGAUUGUUUCUGAAGAUGAAUGGACCAUUGUUUUGCAGGGUUAUGCCUGCUGGCUAGAUCAUGGAGCAAUGAAUCUUAAUCAGGUUAAAAGCAAACCCAAAUAACAGAAGCAGAAACUCAUUACUCUGGCUAUGUAGCACCACGACUAGCCUUAUAACAUGGGUACAGUAUUUUCAUAUGUGCCUUGAUGAUGACACACACACGUCCGACUUACUAAUGUGUACCAGAGCCUGUAAAGGUGAACCCACUGGUCCUGUUAGUAGGAAGAGAAGGAUGUACUGUUCCAGCUGGAACUGUCUGAAAGGGCAAUUCACAUCUUGAAAAGGCACAUGUCAGGUAUAAAAGCCAGCCUAUCAAGAAUGGCGUGCUCAAUGCCAGGGCAGUAGCCUGCAAAAGCAAAACUGAGCCAGGCAUCACAGCAAAGAUGGCUACAACUCCUGGUAACUGGAUUAGAGAAGGUGUUUGAAGGUACUAUGAAGACAUCAUGGCGAUAAAGGUGUUGUGUCAGUAAUACUUGAUCAGUGAAUGUCUGAAGAGCUCAUACAUCCAGGAAUGAUGCACUUUUAAAGGAAGAAAGUGCUCUAUGGCUUUUUGACACUUGAGCCUUUGCCUGUGUAAACCUUUGACAUGAAAGUUCAUUGUGUUGAACAGCUCUUUGAAGGGAUCGCAUCACUCUGUGCCUGAAAAGGAGAAUUCCUCUUCAAAAUGCUGCAAGAUGACUUGGUUUGAUAGUGGGAAGACACUUUGCUUUUGCAAAUAAAUCUUAUUUCUUGCCUGUGC